UAAGCGGAGGAAAAGAAACCAACAGGGAUUGCCCCAGUAACGGCGAGUGAAGCGGCAAAAGCUCAAAUUUGAAAUCCUGCGGGAAUUGUAAUUUGAAGGUUUCGUGGUCUGAGUCGGCCGCGCCCAAGUCCAUUGGAACAUGGCGCCUGGGAGGGUGAGAGCCCCGUAUGGCGCACGCCGACUCUUUGCACCGCGGCUCCGACGAGUCGAGUUGUUUGGGAAUGCAGCUCUAAGUGGGUGGUAAAUUCCAUCUAAAGCUAAAUAUUGGCGAGAGACCGAUAGCGAACAAGUACAGUGAUGGAAAGAUGAAAAGCACUUUGAAAAGAGAGUGAAACAGCACGUGAAAUUGUUGAAAGGGAAGGGCUUGCAAGCAGACACGGUUUUACCGGGCCAGCGUCGAAAAGGGGGGAGGAACAAGAACUCGAGAAUGUGGCGCGCACCUUCGGGCGCGCGUGUUAUAGCUCGUGUUGACGCCUCCAUCCCUUUUCGAGGCCUGCGAUUCUAGGACGCUGGCGUAAUGGUUGCAAGCCGC
Molecule: ribosomal RNA, 532 nt
Filed under: Clavispora lusitaniae
Lineage: Eukaryota; Fungi; Ascomycota; Pichiomycetes; Serinales; Metschnikowiaceae
Description: eukaryotic LSU rRNA
Rfam family: Eukaryotic large subunit ribosomal RNA
Source: RNAcentral